UCUCUCUCUCUCUCUCUCUCUCUCUGUGUGUAUGCCUCUCUGUGUGUAUGUGUGUGUGUGUGUAGAAGAAUAUGCCACCUUCUGAGUCCUGAUCAUUAAAUGAGGGAACAAAACACCUGUGUUGGGAGUCGGGCGGUAGUACAGCAGGUUAAGUGCACGUGGCACAAAGC
This is a long non-coding RNA of Erinaceus europaeus (western European hedgehog), 170 nucleotides long. RefSeq lists it as uncharacterized. Lineage: Eukaryota; Metazoa; Chordata; Mammalia; Eulipotyphla; Erinaceidae. The record is from RefSeq and is a predicted model, not a curated record. The transcript is spliced from 3 exons.